RNAcentral lists this ribosomal RNA (586 nucleotides) under uncultured bacterium. RNAcentral's name for it is "bacterial SSU rRNA". The stretch from base 1 to 523 matches the Rfam family "Bacterial small subunit ribosomal RNA", at positions 338 to 873 of the family's 1533-position model. The record is from RNAcentral.
CCUACGGGAGGCAGCAGUGGGGAAUAUUGGGCAAUGGAGGAAGCUCUGACCCAGCGACGCCGCGUGCGGGAUGAAGGCCUUCGGGUUGUAAACCGCUUUCAGCAGGGAAGAAGCGAAAGUGACGGUACCUGCAGAAGAAGCACCAGCUAACUAUGUGCCAGCAGCCGCGGUAAUACAUAGGGUGCAAGCGUUGUCCGGAAUUAUUGGGCGUAAAGAGCUCGUAGGUGGUUCGUCACGUCGGAUGUGAAAAUCUGGGGCUUAACCCCAGACCUGCAUUCGAUACGGGCGAGCUUGAGUAUGGUAGGGGAGUCUGGAAUUCCUGGUGUAGCGGUGGAAUGCGCAGAUAUCAGGAGGAACACCAAUGGCGAAGGCAGGACUCUGGGCCAUUACUGACACUGAGGAGCGAAAGCGUGGGGAGCGAACAGGAUUAGAUACCCUGGUAGUCCACGCCGUAAACGGUGGGCACUAGUUGUGGGGACCUUCCACGGUCUCUGCGACGCAGCUAACGCAUUAAGUGCCCGCUGGGGAGUACGANGNANAUAACAGAAGAGUGNGNGNGAGAGNGCGAGACGACGACGAGGAGGAG